RNAcentral lists this ribosomal RNA (582 nucleotides) under uncultured Sphingobacterium sp. RNAcentral's name for it is "bacterial SSU rRNA". It matches the Rfam family "Bacterial small subunit ribosomal RNA", at positions 336 to 918 of the family's 1533-position model. The record is from RNAcentral. Lineage: Bacteria; Pseudomonadati; Bacteroidota; Sphingobacteriia; Sphingobacteriales; Sphingobacteriaceae.
UUCCUACGGGAGGCAGCAGUAAGGAGUAUUGGUCAAUGGGGGCAACCCUGAACCAGCCAUGCCGCGUGCAGGACGACUGCCCUAUGGGUUGUAAACUGCUUUUGCCGGGGAAUAAACCCCACUACGUGUAGUGGGCUGAACGUACCCGGAGAAUAAGGAUCGGCUAACUCCGUGCCAGCAGCCGCGGUAAUACGGAGGAUCCGAGCGUUAUCCGGAUUUAUUGGGUUUAAAGGGUGCGUAGGCGGCACUUUAAGUCAGGGGUGAAAGACGGCAGCUCAACUGUCGCAGUGCCCUUGAUACUGAAGUGCUUGAAUGCGGUUGAAGACGGCGGAAUGAGACAAGUAGCGGUGAAAUGCAUAGAUAUGUCUCAGAACACCGAUUGCGAAGGCAGCUGUCUAAGCCGUUAUUGACGCUGAUGCACGAAAGCGUGGGGAUCGAACAGGAUUAGAUACCCUGGUAGUCCACGCCCCAAACGAUGAUAACUCGAUGUUUGCGAUAUACCGUAAGCGUCCAAGCGAAAGCGUUAAGUUAUCCACCUGGGGAGUACGCCCGCAAGGGUGAAACUCAAAUGAAUUGACGGAA